AGUAACGCGUGAGUAACCUGCCUUCAAGAGGGGGAUAACAUUCUGAAAAGAAUGCUAAUACCGCCAUGACAUAUCGGAACCACAUGGUUUUGAUAUCAAAGAUUUUAUCGCUUGAAGAUGGACUCGCGUCCGAUUAGUUAGUUGGUGAGGUAACGGCUCACCAAGACCGCGAUCGGUAGCCGGACUGAGAGGUUGAACGGCCACAUUGGGACUGAGACACGGCCCAGACUCCUACGGGAGGCAGCAUG
This 248-nucleotide ribosomal RNA is filed under the name uncultured bacterium. Its description in RNAcentral is "partial 16S ribosomal RNA". It matches the Rfam family "Bacterial small subunit ribosomal RNA", at positions 109 to 353 of the family's 1533-position model. The record is from RNAcentral.